Molecule: ribosomal RNA, 501 nt
Filed under: uncultured bacterium
Lineage: Bacteria
Description: bacterial SSU rRNA
Rfam family: Bacterial small subunit ribosomal RNA
Source: RNAcentral
GAUGAACGCUGGCGGCGUGCCUAAUACAUGCAAGUCGAGCGAAUGGAUUGAGAGCUUGCUCUCAAGAAGUUAGCGGCGGACGGGUGAGUAACACGUGGGUAACCUGCCCAUAAGACUGGGAUAACUCCGGGAAACCGGGGCUAAUACCGGAUAACAUUUUGAACUGCAUGGUUCGAAAUUGAAAGGCGGCUUCGGCUGUCACUUAUGGAUGGACCCGCGUCGCAUUAGCUAGUUGGUGAGGUAACGGCUCACCAAGGCAACGAUGCGUAGCCGACCUGAGAGGGUGAUCGGCCACACUGGGACUGAGACACGGCCCAGACUCCUACGGGAGGCAGCAGUAGGGAAUCUUCCGCAAUGGACGAAAGUCUGACGGAGCAACGCCGCGUGAGUGAUGAAGGCUUUCGGGUCGUAAACUACUGUUGUUAGGGAAGAACAAGUGCUAGUUGAAUAAGCUGGCACCUUGACGGUACCUAACCAGAAAGCCACGGCUAACUACGUGCC